This 253-nucleotide ribosomal RNA is filed under the name uncultured bacterium. RNAcentral's name for it is "partial 16S ribosomal RNA". It matches the Rfam family "Bacterial small subunit ribosomal RNA", at positions 524 to 776 of the family's 1533-position model. The record is from RNAcentral.
UACGGAGGGGGCUAGCGUUGUUCGGAAUUACUGGGCGUAAAGCGCACGUAGGCGGCUUUGUAAGUUAGAGGUGAAAGCCCAGGGCUUAACCCUGGAAUUGCCUUUAAGACUGCAUCGCUAGAAUCGUGGAGAGGUAAGUGGAAUUCCGAGUGUAGAGGUGAAAUUCGUAGAUAUUCGGAAGAACACCAGUGGCGAAGGCGGCUCACUGGCUCGAUACUGACGCUGAGGUGCGAAAGCGUGGGGAGCAAACAGG